This is an unclassified non-coding RNA of Macaca fascicularis (crab-eating macaque), 148 nucleotides long. It matches the Rfam family "Metazoan signal recognition particle RNA". Rfam says of the family: The signal recognition particle (SRP) is a universally conserved ribonucleoprotein. It is involved in the co-translational targeting of proteins to membranes. The record is from Ensembl. NCBI's taxonomy places the organism in Eukaryota, Metazoa, Chordata, Mammalia, Primates, Cercopithecidae.
GCCGGGUGUGGUGGCACGCACCUGUAAUCCCAGCUACUUAGGAGGCUGAGGCAGGAGAAUCGCUUGAACCCGGGAGCUGGAGGUUGCAGUGAGCCAAGAUUGUGCCACUGCACCCCAGCCUGGGUGACAGAGCGAGACUCUGUCUAAA